This 1430-nucleotide long non-coding RNA is filed under the name Bemisia tabaci. RNAcentral describes it as "lncRNA ENSASIAIIG004604". Lineage: Eukaryota; Metazoa; Arthropoda; Insecta; Hemiptera; Aleyrodidae. The record is from RNAcentral.
GCGCCUCCGUCUCAGUUCCGUGCUCCGCUCGCUUCGGGAACCGCGUCGAAUUUUCCGCCUCCACUCACAGCCGUCCGCUCCGAAAGCCCCGUAGCUCCAUUCCGAAUUCCUUAUUUUCGAGACUUGUAUUUAAUUGGCGCAGUCGGGAAAGGAUCUGCUUAGAUACGUGUUCGCCCGUCUCAACGAUUCUCGUAUCGUUCGUUUCAACGAUUUAAAGCAGUUUCGAACAGUUCGCAUCGCCUUGUGCUUCCGCUUUAGACGACGCAACCCGGUUUCAACUCAUCACCGUUCUGGCGUAAACAGAGAAGAAGUUGCAGUGUUUUUCAGCCACUGAAAGGAAGAUCAGAUUCUAUCGUUACCCACUACAGCCUGGACAUCAAGUGAAGCAGCCAUCCUCAGCUCAAAUGUGGAUCGCACGAUUUGUUUGUUUAGCUGUCCACAGAUGCACCGCUGUACAGAUAGAAGACAAUGCCCCAUGUUGCCUAGAUUUUCAGCAACACGGUACAACGAGCCAAUGCCCUUUUGUGACCGUUGCCCGUUCUCCACUGGUAUAUUCAUCAACAACUCUUGGACGCACCAUUCUGUUUCUCCCUGAUGAAACCCGCCUGAAUAUAUCAUGCAACGCUCAAACGGAAUCCAAACUCUACUCUGGACUCCUUCUACUGGCAAACACCAAUUGCUCAAUGAAUCUCGACGGAACAAUCUUGCAUCUCAAUAGUACAACCAUUACUCAACCUCACGUCUCCGAUUUACAGCCUCUUGAAACGAACUUUGUACAUGUUGCUCCUGCAAACCUCAGCUUGACAGAUUUAAUGUUCAAUAGCCAUUCUGCCUAUAUGCCGUUACCAAUUAUUCCAGUCGUAACAGCUGAUACCAAUCAUACUUUUAUUAUGUAUUUAAUUUUAGGUACAUCUCUAGGCGUAGUAUUGAUUUUUCAAAUUACCAUAUAUUGUUCUUCAAAAAAUAGGCCAGAACAGAUGAUUCAGUUGCAACCUUUAAAACUCAGUUAGUCCCAUUCACCAUUGGAAUGUUACCCCUUUGAGUUUUCACUAGGAAGGGAGGAAUUAUAUGCGUCAUCCUAACUUAUGUAACUUAUCACUUUUUACGUCAUGAUUCCUCUUACAUGCGUCAUCCUAUCUUAUGUCACUUAUACUUUAUCUUACGUCGUUCCUGUUGAGUCACUCAUCUCCCUUAUCUGACUUAUGUCAUUGUGAUAAUGAAGCCAUAUAUGCACUUGCUGCCUUGACCACAGCGUCAUUCGUUCAAUAUUCUUAUCGAGAGUACAAGCCUUCUGUGCUUUGUUUACAUCGUUGUUUUGAUUGUAGAGUGAUCCCUGUUUCUUAAUAUAUCUUUUUUAAAGUUAUUUUCGAGACUUGUAUUUAAUUCGCGCGCCGCUCCCCUGUGGGUUAGGACAUACCCACUGUGUUUGG